Long non-coding RNA from Ctenopharyngodon idella (grass carp), 1580 nucleotides. RefSeq lists it as uncharacterized. Lineage: Eukaryota; Metazoa; Chordata; Actinopteri; Cypriniformes; Xenocyprididae. The record is from RefSeq and is a predicted model, not a curated record. The transcript is spliced from 3 exons.
UGGUUGCUUGCUUGACUUCUAAACUAUAGCCUAAUGGUUGUGCCCAUGGAUAUAAAUGUUCACAAGAUGAGUUUGGACAUAUUUAGUCAGUCUGAGGUGGUGGCUGUGUGAGGUUGCUGGACAAGAUUGAUUGAAAGCAGGUGAAUUUAAUCAAAAGGUGAGGACACGUUCGAGCUGCAUGCGGUGCAGUUGGAGCUGGAGGCCGUGGAACGACAGAUCCGGACCCUUCUGGAGAAGCAGGCCGAGCUACGGGAGCGGCGAACAGCGCUGGAAACAUCCCGUGCUGACGCUCACCAAUCCUCGGUAAGUUUGCAGCGCGAUAUUAACAUUCCUGCUUCCUCUACGCCGUGUGCUUCUCUGCACAGGGCCCGAGCACCCAGAACGCGUUCAUCCCAGCCCUCGUUCACUCCGGCGCCGUCACACCAGGGACCUUGGGUUCUUCAGCAACGGAAGGCGCGAGCCAGGCCUCGGACCAGGACCUCUCCCCCUCCGCCGCCCCCGGUUUUCGAGGUCUCGACGAGGAACCGCUUCUCCCCUCUUCGCGAGGCAGAACGCGACGCCGUGGUCAUCGGAGACUCCAUCGUCCGUCACGUCCACGCUACCACAACCAAAGGUAAGGUGCGCCGUCACUGUUUUCCUGGUGCUCGUGUCCUCGAUGUCUCUGCGCAGGUUCCCGCGAUCCUGAAUGGCGCUGAGAGCAUCGGAGCUGUUGUUCUGCACGUGGGGGUGAACGACACCAGGCUGCGGCAGACGGAGGUGCUGAAGCAGGACUUCAGGAGCCUGAUCGACACGGUACGAGCCACAUCGCCCGCGACGAGGAUCAUCGUGUCCGGACCGCUUCCGACGUACCGACGUGGACAUGAAAGGUUCAGUAGAUUAUUUGCUUUAAAUGAAUGGUUAAUGUCUAACCCUAACUGAACAGAAGCUGCUCUUUAUAAAUAAUUGGAAUCUUUUCUGGGAGCGACCUAGGCUCUUCCGUGCUGAUGGCCUGCACCCCAGCAGAAUCGGAGCUGAUCUUCUGUCGGAGAACAUCUCCAAGACGCUUCGCACCGUAUGACUAAUGACUAAAACUUUGGAAGAGACUGCGCCAACUCCUGCGAUGACUUCAGAAGAUGCAACAUCUGGAUCAACACGCACAUUCGCAAAUUUCUAUAUAUCCUAAUUAUUGUUAAUAUGUAAUUCAUUUUUCCAGGAGCUCUUUGCUUCUACCUUCAAUUAAAUUGCUAACAGUGAUUGUAUAUUAAUCGCCUAAAUUAUUACAUUAUCAGCUAACUGCAGUCUCCAAAUUGUAAUGUUGACAUGCAUUCUCUGUAAAGCUGCUUUGAAACGAUAUGUAUUGUGAAAAGCGCUAUACAAAUAAAUGUGAAUUAAAUUGAAAUUGAAUUGAAUUAAUUAGUAUUUGGGGGCUGCACUGUGAUCCUUAACUUUUAAUUUGUCAAAUGACUCGUUUUAAAUAAAAAAAAAAAAAAAAAAAAAAAAAAACAGAUUUUUGGUAUAUAUACUGUUACACUGAAUGACAUUUAGUUUUAGCGUAAAUCAUGGUAAAAUGUAAGAGUCUUUUUUUUUUUUUUUUUUUUCUU